CAGGCGCACACCUAGGGAAGCCUCCCUGUGGGCAGUGUGAGAGCGAGCUGGCGAGGAGGCGGGCGGGCGGGAGGGCGGGAGGCGGCGAGCCUGCGACGAGGAGAGGCGUGGAGAGGAGAGCCGGGCGCCGAGGACACUCGGGGGAGGAGGCGCCGGGUCUGCUCGCGGAGAGAGACGCGCUAGGCGCCAGCGCAGCCGGAGGGACCCCUUGCGCGCGGAGCAUGAGCCGGCGGCCGGCUGGAGAGCGGCAGGGGGAGACGGCCUCGGCGGAGCCCUGAGACGCUGGGCUGGGGCUGGGCCACUGCGCGCCCGGGGCUGGGUGCGGAGCGUCCCGCGCUGGCGGCUGCGGCCGGGGCGCCAAGCCAUGGGGAGCCCCCGGGCCACGCUGCUCCUGCUGCUCCUGCGCCCGGUCAAGCUGCUGCGGAGGCGCUUCCGGCUGCUGCUGGCGCUUUCCCUGGUGUCCGUGGGGCUGUGGACUCUUUAUUUGGAACUGGUGGCGUCGGCCCAGGUCGGCGGAAACCCCCUGAACCGGAGAUAUGGCAGUUGGAGAGAACUGGCCAAGGCUCUGGCCAGCAGGAACAUUCCAGCUGUGGAUCCAAAUCUCCAGUUUUAUCAUCCCCCGAGGCUGGGCCACCAGGACCAAGACUUGGAGCGAGGUGGGAGUGGUAACAGCAGCUACCUGAAGUGGAAUAAGCCUGUCCCGUGGCUCUCAGAGUUCCGGGGCCGCGCCAACCUGCAUGUGUUUGAGGACUGGUGUGGCAGUUCCAUUCAGCAGCUCAGGAGGAACCUCCACUUCCCACUGUACCCCCAUAUUCGCACCACCGUGAGGAAGCUGGCUGUGUCCCCAAAAUGGACCAACUAUGGCCUCCGCAUCUUUGGCUACCUGCACCCCUUCACCGAUGGAAAGAUCCAGUUUGCCAUUGCUGCAGAUGACAACGCUGAGUUCUGGCUCAGCCGGGACGACCAGGUGUCAGGCCUUCAGCUGCUGGCCAGUGUGGGCAAGACUGGAAAAGAGUGGACCGCCCCUGGAGAGUUUGGGAAAUUUCGGAGCCAAAUUUCUAAGCCAGUGAGCCUGGCGGCCUCCCAGAGAUACUACUUUGAGGUUCUGCACAAACAGAACGACAAGGGCACAGAUCAUGUGGAAGUUGCGUGGCGACGGAAUGACCCUGGAGCCAAGUUCACCAUUAUUGACUCCCCUUCUCUCUCCCUCUUCACAAAUGAGACAGUCCUAAGGAUGGAUGAUGUGGGCCAUAUCCCUCAGACAGCAGCCAGCCACACAGGUUCCCGAGACUCUCUUCCCAGAGAGGAGCUGCCCCUUGCAGACAUGCUGCGGCCUGACCCUCGGGACACCCUCUAUCGAGUGCCUCUGAUCCCCAAGACUCAUCUCCGCCACGUCCUGCCCGAUUGUCCCUACAAACCCAGCUACCUGGUGGAUGGGCUCCCCCUGCAGCGCUACCAGGGACUCCGCUUUGUGCAUCUGUCCUUCGUUUACCCCAAUGACUAUACCCGUCUGAGCCACAUGGAGACCCAUAAUAAAUGCUUCUACCAGGAAAACUCGUACUACCAGGAUAGGUUCAGCUUUCAGGAGUACAUCAAGAUUGACCAGCCAGAGAAGCAGGGGCCAGAGCAGCCAGGCUUUGAGGAAAGCCUUCUAGAAGAAUCCCAGUAUGGAGAAGCGCCAGAAGAGACCCUUGCCUCCAACGUUCAGGAUGCCAGGAUGCCAGAGGGAAGACAAGUGCCUACCUUUCCCCCUGGGCAGGAUGUCACUGACUACCACCUCCGGAAACUCCUGGCUCAGCCCCGGGAGGGUCUGGUGGCACCCUUUUCCAAGCAGAACUCCACAGCUCCCUUCCCUGCAAGGACUAGCGAUGUCCUAGUCCAGCAACCAGAGAAGAGGGAGCGAAGACCCAGCCCUGAGCCCAGCCAGGAUCCAUCUUACUCUCAGAAGUGGCCCCCGGGGCAUCUGGCAGGGAAACUGCCUCCUGUCAAGGGGCCCAGGCCCACUGGGGACAGUCCCAGGAAAACUCUAGGGCAGUCCCAGUGGCUGAAUCAAGUUGAGACAUACAUCGCAGAGCAGAGAAGGGGAGACAGGAUGGAGCCCCUAGCCCCUAGGAGGGGUUGGCAUGGCAAGGAAGACGUCGUGAUUGCUGCAGGCCAGGAAGGACAGGUGGAGGGAGAAGAAGAGGGGGAAGAAGAGGAAGAGGAAGAGGAUAUGAGUGAGGUGUUCGAAUACAUGCCCGUGUUUGACCCAGUGGUAAACUGGGACCAGACCUUCAGUGCUCGGAACCUUGACUUCCAAGCCCUGCGGACCGACUGGAUCGAUCUGAACUGUAACACAUCUGGCAACCUGCUGCUUCCGGAGCAGGAGGCUCUCGAGGUCAUACGGGUCUUCCUGAAGAAGCUCAACCAGAGGAGCCGGGGAAAGUACCAGCUGCAGCGCAUCGUGAAUGUGGAGAAGCGCCAGGACCAGCUACGUGGGGGUCGCUACCUCCUGGAGCUUGAGCUGCUGGAACAAGGCCAGCGCCCAGUGCGGCUCUCCGAGUAUGUGUCUACACGAGGCUGGCAGGGCAUCGAUCCAGCUGGUGGGGAAGAGGUCGAGGCCCGGAACCUGCAGGGCCUGGUUUGGGGCUCAAACAACCGCCGGAGACAUGUCUUGAAUGUCCGGGCCCCGGAGCCCAAACUGUGUUGGCCCCAGGGCUUCUCCUGGAAUCACCGAGCCGUGGUCCACUUCGUUGUGCCUGUGAAGAACCAGGCGCGCUGGGUGCAGCAGUUCAUCAGAGACAUGGAAAAGCUGUUCCAGGCCACCGGCGACCCACACUUCAAUAUCAUCAUCACUGACUACAGCAGUGAGGACAUGGACGUCGAGAUGGCCCUAAAGAGGUCCAAGCUGCGGAGCUACCAGUAUAUGAAGCUGAGUGGAAACUUCGAGCGCUCGGCUGGGCUUCAGGCUGGCAUAGAUCUGGUGAAGGACCCGCACAGCAUCAUCUUCCUCUGUGACCUCCACAUCCACUUCCCAGCCGGAGUCAUCGAUACCAUCCGGAAGCACUGUGUGGAGGGCAAGAUGGCCUUCGCCCCCAUGGUGAUGAGGCUGCAUUGCGGGGCCACCCCGCAGUGGCCUGAGGGUUACUGGGAGGUGAAUGGGUUUGGACUGCUCGGCAUCUACAAGUCAGACCUGGACAGAAUUGGCGGCAUGAACACCAAGGAAUUCCGAGACCGCUGGGGCGGGGAAGACUGGGAGCUGCUUGACCGGUGACUGGGGGAGGAGGGUGUCUGAAAGGGACUGCAGGGAGAGAACAGGGCUAGAUCAGCUGAGGCUGCGGCCAUGGGGCACCAGAUUCCUGAUCUCUGGGCUCAGAGGAAGCCCUGCCCCUCGCCAGGGGUCCUAUUACUCACAUAGCCAAGACUCAGUUUCUGUGUCUAUUAGAAGGGGGAUGAUACUGCCUCCACCUGUGUCACAAGGUUGGAGUGGAGAUUAGAGUGCAUGGUGAGCUGUCAGGGUAAAGUAGAAGCUCACGAGCUGUGUGCAUGUAAAUGCUGAUGCUCUCAGCCCGGGUGUUCUCCAGAUCAGAGCCUUCCUCCUCUGCACCACUGCCCGGCAGGGAAGCUGACAGGAGAGACAGAUGAAGGGUCAGAAAGACUUGGGGCCAGCAUAAGAGACAUUAAGGCCAUUAAAGGGCAGGAUAAUCCAGAUAGGUCCUGGGGCCUUGGAAGCCUGGGAGAAGGGAGUUUCAGGGAGCAAGAAAUAGUCCCAGGGAAGAAGAAAGGAGAACACGGACAGGCCACAGACUUGGGAAACAGCGGCAGGGUUGAGGCAGGCACGGUGGGCCAGGACCCUACUGUAGGGUGGUGAGGGAGCGGAAGCUGUGUUAGUAGGAGAGUCCUCUUUCAAGAAAUUUGCUUUUUAAAAAAAAUUUGCUGCCACGAGGGGUGCCUGGCUGGCUCAGUAGAGAGAGCACGCAGCUCUUGAUCUCGGGGUCGUGAGUUCAAGCCCCACAUUGGGGGUAGAGGUUUUUUAAUAAAUAAAAGUUACAGAAGAAGGAAAGAAAUUUGUUGCCAAGAGAAGGGGAGGGAAAGAGGAUGAUACCUUGAGAUUUGGAUUGAAGGGAAGAGGCGGAGGAGAGAAAGGGAGGGAGACAUCAAAGGAAGAAAGGACCAGGGUUGGCUGUGUAUCACUCUCUCUCUAAAGGAGGAAAAGACUGGCAGACUGAGACUCUGAAAGAUGACAUGCUUUACAAGGAUCCUCCAAGCGGGCCUGGAAGUGGAACGUCUCUCCCUCAGGAAUUUCUUCCAUCACUUCCAUUCCAAGCGGGGCAUGUGGAACCGCCGUCAGAUGAAGAUGCCGUGAUCCCGAGGGGCGGGCUGCUGGACUGACUGCUUCCUGCUCCUUGACUUGUGCUGGCUCCCCAGUGCCCCCUGCUCGCCGCUGGGGGGUGCGGAAGGGGGGCAGAAGCCAUGGCUGAGCCCCGAGAGGCCUCAGAGCUAACACCAUCACCACCCAGAGCUGUUGCCUCACGCAGAGAGCUGCGAAGGCCCCUCUCUCUACCCUCGGGGCCUCUGAAGGGAGGACCUUGGGAGAGGGACCGGGAGGGGGGCCGUUCACUCAGUUGACAGAGAUGGACUGGCUCCUGGGAAAGGCAGCACAGUGCAGUCAAGGAAGGAAAGAUCUGUUUGAGCGCUGCUGACCUAUCCAUGAGGUGCAUUCCAGCACCCCCCACCAGGCUCCUCCUGGGGAGCAGUGACCAUGACCUGGAAACUCUUCUCUUGGACAUAUUCUAUUGGGGUUUUUAUUUUUUCUAACAGAAAACCAAAACCGUACCUGUCCAGACCCUGCCUUGACUGAGAGGGGGAUGGAGUCAUGCAUUUAGGGCAUGUCCCAACUUGCAUACCUCAGACCCACUUCCUUGUAGCGCGACAUGUCCCUCAAGUCCUUGGUCUGGCAGCUGAUUUAUAACCAGAGGAGCUGGCACAGCGUGGAUCCGUUCUCAGCUCUACCCCGGCUGUGCCAUCCAGAGACACGCACAUCUCUCUUGGGGAGCCACAGAACAGCUGGCCGCCAAUUAGGGCAUUAACCUUCUCCUCUGGGUGGUGCUAACUCCAGCCCAGCACAGACUGGCAUCAUCAUGGUGCCUCGGCGGGGUCAGGAGAGAGAGGGCUGGUGGACCGUGGGCUCGUCAUUCCUGGGUGUCUGGCGUAGAGGCGGUGCCAGACCGGCACGGUGGAGAAGGAGGGAAGAGAAGCCCCCGGCCUGGCCUGCCUGCAGGCUGAAGCUUUGGGGAGAACAUGGAGCAGAGAGGAAAGAGGAUGGAGAUGUAACAAAGCUCUGGGCUUAGAAGGGAAGAGGGAGUGGGCAUCCAGCAGGAAAGGGAGAAAGGGAAGUGGAAAAUCGGAGUUCCCCACAGUCCUGCUCCUGAACAGACUUCGCCUCCUUUGGGGAGAUCCCCAGCCCCGGCCUGCCGGGAAGAAGAGGAAGGGGUGUGGACAAGGUGGAGGAACAGGGUCCAGGGUGGGGAGCGGCAGGGCCAUGGGCUUGGGGAGGUAAGGGCAUCGCCCUGAGAUCUCUUCCUCAAUUGGAGAGGAGUGGGGCCAGGAGGAACUGAAAAGUGGAGCCAUUUCAGGAAGCUAGCCCUUGGCCUUUGUAGUCUCUGGCUGCCCUUUCUCACACCCGCUGGUCACACACUUAGUCUUGCACUAAAAGUCCCCAGGUGCCUUCGAGGCUGGGGAUUUUUCUGCCACUGCUGCUGCCUCUGCCGCUGCCGCUGGUUUGACCAGUGGUGCAUUGGACGCUGGCUCUGGCACUCCGGCGUCCGUGGAAGGAGGGGAGCCCGGGGCUCGCUGCUGUGAGGAAUCUCUCGUGGGGAGGCCAGGCUGCUGAGCCCAGGCUCCAUGCUGUGGUAGAGUCCUAGUCACAGCUUUCAGGGCUCCAGCGUCUACCUGGUGGGCCCUGCAUUCACCAAGAGCACACGCUUGGCAUUUAGGAGAAUCAAGCCUUGAGAACCUUCUGGAGGUUGAAGAGAGUUUCAUCUCCCUCUAAAAAAUCAGGAAGAACGAAACUUUCCAAUUAAUGGGCUGUGGCUUCUGGAUGCCAUUCCUGCCCCUUGAGCCCUGGCUUUUCACACGGCCCUCGCUCAGGCCUACUGCCUUUGGGAAAGGGCUAUAUGGAAUAGGUAGAGCUCCAGUUAGCUGGCUGGGCGGGCAGCUUGCUUUCUGGGGCCACCCUUGGGCGUGGCACUGGUAGGCCUGACCCAACUGAGGCAGCUCAGCUGCCUCCAUGCUUUUAAAGGCAGGAGCCAGGCCCGCCUGCCCUGCCCUCCCCUGCCCUGCUCAUGACCCCCUCUGACUCUGGCCAGUGCCUUUCCUUCAAUGUUUGUUACCUCCACACCAUCUGCCUUAAGGGGGAGGGCCCCUACUCUGUAGGGAAAUGGGUUGGGGGGAGGGAGGGAAGUGAUUAAAUACAGCAUCUUCUUAGAAAACGAA
Molecule: RNA transcript, 6474 nt
Organism: Lutra lutra (Eurasian river otter)
Lineage: Eukaryota; Metazoa; Chordata; Mammalia; Carnivora; Mustelidae
Gene: B4GALNT3
Gene name: beta-1,4-N-acetyl-galactosaminyltransferase 3
Exons: 20
Source: RefSeq, a predicted model, not a curated record